AGGACGAACGCUGGCGGCGUGCUUAACACAUGCAAGUCGAACGGAAAGGCCCUGCUUUUGUGGGGUGCUCGAGUGGCGAACGGGUGAGUAACACGUGAGUAACCUGCCCUUGACUUUGGGAUAACUUCAGGAAACUGGGGCUAAUACCGGAUAGGAGCUCCUGCUGCAUGGGUGGGGGUUGGAAAGUUUCGGCGUU
Molecule: ribosomal RNA, 196 nt
Filed under: uncultured soil bacterium
Lineage: Bacteria
Description: partial 16S ribosomal RNA
Rfam family: Bacterial small subunit ribosomal RNA
Source: RNAcentral